GAUGAACGCUGGCGGCGUGCCUAAUACAUGCAAGUCGAGCGAACAGACGAGGAGCUUGCUCCUCUGACGUUAGCGGCGGACGGGUGAGUAACACGUGGAUAACCUACCUAUAAGACUGGGAUAACUUCGGGAAACCGGAGCUAAUACCGGAUAACAUGUUGAACCGCAUGGUUUAACAGUGAAAGACGGUCUUGCUGUCACUUAUAGAUGGAUCCGCGCCGCAUUAGCUAGUUGGUAAGGUAACGGCUUACCAAGGCAACGAUGCGUAGCCGACCUGAGAGGGUGAUCGGCCACACUGGAACUGAGACACGGUCCAGACUCCUACGGGAGGCAGCAGUAGGGAAUCUUUCGCAAUGGGCGAAAGCCUGACGGAGCAACGCCGCGUGAGUGAAGAAGGUCUUCGGAUCGUAAAACUCUGUUAUUAGGGAAGAUCAAAUGUGUAAGUAACUAUGCACGUCUUGACGGUACCUAAUCAGAAAGCCACGGCUAACUACGUG
RNAcentral lists this ribosomal RNA (497 nucleotides) under uncultured bacterium. RNAcentral's name for it is "partial 16S ribosomal RNA". It matches the Rfam family "Bacterial small subunit ribosomal RNA", at positions 28 to 507 of the family's 1533-position model. The record is from RNAcentral.